UGGGGAAUAUUGCGCAAUGGGGGAAACCCUGACGCAGCAACGCCGCGUGAGCGAAGAAGGCCUUCGGGUUGUAAAGCUCUGUCGAAAGGGACGAACCCGCCUGGUGCUAAUAUCACUAGGCGCUGACGGUACCUUUAAAGGAAGCACCGGCUAACUCCGUGCCAGCAGCCGCGGUAAUACGGAGGGUGCAAGCGUUGUUCGGAAUUACUGGGCGUAAAGCGCGUGUAGGUGGCUUUUUAUGUCGGGUGUGAAAGCCCUGGGCCUAACCCAGGAAGUGCGCCCGAAACUGAAAAGCUUGAGUACGAUAGAGGAGGACGGAAUUCCUAGUGUAGAGGUGAAAUUCGUAGAUAUUAGGAAGAACACCGGUGGCGAAAGCGGUUCUCUGGAUCGAUACUGACAC
This 400-nucleotide ribosomal RNA is filed under the name uncultured bacterium. RNAcentral's name for it is "bacterial SSU rRNA". It matches the Rfam family "Bacterial small subunit ribosomal RNA", at positions 355 to 746 of the family's 1533-position model. The record is from RNAcentral.